Transfer RNA from Methanobrevibacter curvatus, 74 nucleotides. It matches the Rfam family "tRNA". From Rfam's summary of the family: Transfer RNA (tRNA) molecules are approximately 80 nucleotides in length. The record is from Rfam. NCBI's taxonomy places the organism in Archaea, Methanobacteriati, Methanobacteriota, Methanobacteria, Methanobacteriales, Methanobacteriaceae.
GGGCCGGUGGCUCAGCCAGGUAGAGCGCACGGCUGAUAACCGUGAGGUCCUGGGUUCGAACCCCAGCCGGCCCA